This 480-nucleotide ribosomal RNA is filed under the name uncultured bacterium. RNAcentral's name for it is "partial 16S ribosomal RNA". It matches the Rfam family "Bacterial small subunit ribosomal RNA", at positions 28 to 507 of the family's 1533-position model. The record is from RNAcentral.
GAUGAACGCUAGCGGCAGGCCUAACACAUGCAAGUCGAGCGGGAAGUUACUUUCGGGUGGCUGUGACCGGCGUACGGUUGCGUAACGCGUAUACAAUCUGCCUUUCACUGGUGGAUAUCCCGAAGAAAUUUGGAUUAAUACCCCAUAGUAUAUAUGCACGGCACCGUUUUUAUCUUAAAGCCUUGGUGGCGUACGAUGAGUAUGCGUUCUAUUAGCUAUUUGGAGAUGUAACGGCUCCCCAAGGCGAUGAUCGAUAGGGGUUAUGAGAGGGAUGUCCACCAGACUGGUACUGAGAUACAGACCAGACUCGUACGGGAGGGAGCAGAGAAGAAUAUUAGACGAUGGUCGGUAGACUGAUCCAGCCGUGCCGGGUGCAGGAGGAAGGGCUUAUGGAUUGUAAACUGCUGUUGUAAAGGAGGAAUAAGGGAUACGCGUAGUUUGAUGACGGUACCUUACGAAUAAGCACCGGCUAACUCCGUG